This 404-nucleotide long non-coding RNA is filed under the name Gallus gallus (chicken). The record is from RNAcentral. Lineage: Eukaryota; Metazoa; Chordata; Aves; Galliformes; Phasianidae.
ACACAUUCAGAAGGAGGAAAACACCUUUCCACUUAUGGAAUUUACUUACAUAUUCAGUUUCUUGCUUGGAUUCCGAAGAGAAAUUCAGUGUAUCUGUACUCUGUGAAUCAUAUUCCACUUUAUAGCGCUGUGUAUUUUUGGCUUGCUCUUUCCUGAUGAUAUCUAUUCUGAUGUGCUGUGGAGGCAAAUUUGAAUCUGGCACUCUGUGCAAGCUUGGGAUGGCCUGAUUUUCUAAGCUACUGGUACUCCUGUCUUCUUCUGAAUCACUGGAAUUUCCUGCAGCGUGCGGUCCCGGCAGCAGGAAGGCCCGCAGCUUGUCUCCCGCCGUGGCGUUGGUGCAGAAACCGCGGCCCUCCAGCAGAGCCUGCAGCGGCCGUGCCUCCUCUUGCCGCGGCUGGCAGUUG